UUCACGAAGUGAUAAGCUGCUUGUUCUUGCAUUUAUAUGCCUCUUUAUACUGGUGUUUUCUCAAACGAAAAAUGGCCAAUGUACAGAAAGACCUGUUUCCGGCCAAUGUUGUUACAACUUUCAUGUUGUGGGCAAUAAAUGUGAGGCCUGUCCCCCGGGAUUCUUUGGAAACAAUUGUAUCAGCGCAUGCCCAAACGGAUCGUACGGGAAUCUGUGUGUAAGUCUAUGU
Molecule: long non-coding RNA, 229 nt
Organism: Saccostrea cuccullata (small rock oyster)
Lineage: Eukaryota; Metazoa; Mollusca; Bivalvia; Ostreida; Ostreidae
Exons: 3
Source: RefSeq, a predicted model, not a curated record